AAUGACGUUUGAAAAGUGAAAGUGCUCAUGUGACGGGCCUGUCCUGGUCGCGCUAGGCGAGACAACAAAAAUUGCCGCCCCUUACGAGAAUAGUCCCAAGUAAGCAAAGCUACGUUAAAAAGACCUCUACUAUACGAAUUUUCAAGACGUUGAAGUUAGGUUCAAUUUAGGUUCUGAAUGAAAGGUGAAAAUAUGUAUUUUCCAGAUGUUGAAAUCAGGUUCAUUUUCGGUUCUGAAUGAAAGUUGAAAAUAUGUAAUUUAUAGACGUCUACGUUUGGGCCAAAUCAAAGCUGGCCCAGACCAGACAAAAUCUGAACCAAACCUAUGAGUGGUCCAGAGUGGACCAACAAGCAACAUCUGUGGAUAUGGAAAUCGAGGCCGGUCCAGAUGGCACCAAAAAAGACAUUGGACAAGACCAAAAAAGACAUCCAGAAGGCAUCAGUGUCGGUCAGUGCUUACUGAGCUGCAGAUAUAAAGGACAAAUUCUGCAUCAUAGGAUUCAUCAACAGCAGGCUUCCCAAUGAUUUCAUUAAAGCUGAGAUCUGCAAAAGGAAGAUGAUAAAACGCACAAUGAACUCAGAAGACACCCGCAGUGCAAGCACCAGUCCAAGCCCCAGUGGAGCAAGCACACAGUGGGUCAAGUCCCAAUGGAGAGACAGAAGGAGAGUCCAUCCCAGUGUGAAUGAUCAGGCAAAGGAGGUCUACGCCAAAAUUAUUUCUUGCCUACGAGAACCAGCACCCACAGAGUCUGAUCCAUCUGCAGUUUUUGGGCUGCUACAAAGGGGAUGCUACCAAGACUAAGAUAGAUGGCCAAAAGUGGACAUCUAGGAAUUGCUGCUAAAGAAUCUUUUUCAAGAUUUAAGUAGUGUGAGAAUUGAGAGAGCAGGAUACUGAAAUGUUGAAUGAUAUAUUUAUUGAUGUUUAUGUAUUAUUUGUGCAUACAUUAAUUAUUAAAUCAAUUAACCUACA
This is a long non-coding RNA of Salvelinus namaycush (lake trout), 969 nucleotides long. RefSeq lists it as uncharacterized. The record is from RefSeq and is a predicted model, not a curated record. Lineage: Eukaryota; Metazoa; Chordata; Actinopteri; Salmoniformes; Salmonidae. The transcript is spliced from 3 exons.